GCGGAAGUAGCUCAGCGGUAGAGCAUCGCCUUGCCAAGGCGAGGGUCGCGGGUUCAAAUCCCGUCUUCCGCUCCA
RNAcentral lists this transfer RNA (75 nucleotides) under Sulfobacillus thermosulfidooxidans. RNAcentral's name for it is "tRNA-Gly". It matches the Rfam family "tRNA". Rfam says of the family: Transfer RNA (tRNA) molecules are approximately 80 nucleotides in length. Their secondary structure includes four short double-helical elements and three loops (D, anti-codon, and T loops). The record is from RNAcentral. RNAcentral also lists the same sequence under 17 other names. Lineage: Bacteria; Bacillati; Bacillota; Clostridia; Eubacteriales; Clostridiales Family XVII. Incertae Sedis.